GAUGAACGCUGGCGGCGUGCCUAAUACAUGCAAGUCGAGCGGUAAGGCCUCUUCGGAGGUACACGAGCGGCGGACGGCUGAGUAACGCGUAGGAACAUACCCCAAAGUGAGGGAUAACUGCUCGAAAGAGUAGCUAAUACCGCAUGUGAUCUAAGGAUUAAAGCUUCGGCGCUUUGGGAAUGGCCUGCGUAUGAUUAGUUUGUUGGUGAGGUAAUGGCUCACCAAGACUACGAUCAUUAGCUGGUCUGAGAGGACGAUCAGCCACACUGGGACUGAGACACGGCCCAGACUCCUACGGGAGGCAGCAGUGGGGAAUCUUGCGCAAUGCGCGAAAGCGUGACGCAGCAACGCCGCGUGGGGAAGAC
RNAcentral lists this ribosomal RNA (365 nucleotides) under uncultured bacterium. RNAcentral's name for it is "bacterial SSU rRNA". It matches the Rfam family "Bacterial small subunit ribosomal RNA", at positions 28 to 412 of the family's 1533-position model. The record is from RNAcentral.